GGCGAGAUAGCUCAGUUGGUAGAGCAAUGGACUGAAAAUCCAUGUGUCAUCGGUUCGAUCCCGAUUCUCGCCACCA
RNAcentral lists this transfer RNA (76 nucleotides) under Lentisphaerota bacterium. Its description in RNAcentral is "Lentisphaerae bacterium (anaerobic digester metagenome) tRNA-Phe". It matches the Rfam family "tRNA". Rfam says of the family: Transfer RNA (tRNA) molecules are approximately 80 nucleotides in length. Their secondary structure includes four short double-helical elements and three loops (D, anti-codon, and T loops). Further hydrogen bonds mediate the characteristic L-shaped molecular structure. tRNAs have two regions of fundamental functional importance: the anti-codon, which is responsible for specific mRNA codon recognition, and the 3' end, to which the tRNAs corresponding amino acid is attached (by aminoacyl-tRNA synthetases). tRNAs cope with the degeneracy of the genetic code in two manners: having more than one tRNA (with a specific anti-codon) for a particular amino acid; and 'wobble' base-pairing, i.e. permitting non-standard base-pairing at the 3rd anti-codon position. Lineage: Bacteria; Pseudomonadati; Lentisphaerota. RNAcentral also lists the same sequence under 2 other names. The record is from RNAcentral.